RNAcentral lists this ribosomal RNA (1439 nucleotides) under uncultured bacterium. Its description in RNAcentral is "bacterial SSU rRNA". It matches the Rfam family "Bacterial small subunit ribosomal RNA". The record is from RNAcentral.
UAGAGUUUGAUCCUGGCUCAGAGUGAACGCUAGUAGUAUGCUUUAUACAUGCGAGUCGAAUACUUUUUAAGUAUGGCGAACGGGUGAGUAAAAUAUAAGAAAUUACCCUUUAGUUCGGGUUAAAAUACCGAAUAAUCAAAGAUUUAUAUCGCUAUCGGAUAUGCUUAUACAAAAUUAGGUAGUAGGUAAGUUAAUAGCUUACCUAGCCUACGAUUUUUAGUUGAUUUGAAAGAAUGAUCAACCACACUGGGACUGAGACAAGGCCCAGGCUUUUUUUUACAGCCAGCAGUAAGGAAUCUUGGACAAUGAGCGAAAGCUUGAUCCAGCAAUACUACGUGAGGGAUUUACGGCUUAUUUUGGUCUUCAACCUCUUUUAUUAGAAAAGAUAAUGACUUAUCUAAAAAAAAAGUCCCGGCUAAUUUCGUGCCAGCAGCCGCGGUAAUACGAAAGGGGCAAGCGUUAUUCGGUGUAAUUUGGUGUAAAGGGUUCGUAGGCUGUAAUAAGGUUGUUUAAAUUGAAAUUAAGAGACCUAAUCUCUUUUAAGGUAUUUAAAAACACUUUUACUUGGGUAUAAGAGAGGAUUAUAGAAUUUUAAAGGGAGAGGUAAAAUUUUAAGAUCUUUAAAGGAAUAUCAAAAGCGAAAGCAAUAAUCUGGUUUAUUUUUACCGACGCUGAGGAACGAAAGAAUAGGUAGCAAACAGGAUUAGAGACCCUGGUAGUCUAUUCUGUAAACUAUGAGUGCUCGUAUUUAGAAUAUAAAAUUUUAGAUACUAAGUUAACACGUUAAGCACUCCACCUGAGGAGUAUGAUCGCAAGAUUGGAACUCAAAGGAAUUGACGGGGGCCUAUACAAGUGGUGGAGCAUGUGGUUUAAUGCGAUAAUACGCGCGAAAUCUUACCAAUCUUUGAUUUUUUUUUAAUCUUUUUUAAUAUUGUUUAAAGAAGAUUGAAAAGAACAGGUGUUGCAUGGCUGUCGUCAGCUCGUGUUGUGAAAUGUUUGGUUAAGUCCUUUAACGAGCGCAACUCUUUUUUUUAGUUGCUACUUUUAUUUUAAAAGGCACUCUAAAAAUACUAUUUAUGAUGAGUAAAUGGAAGAAGAAUUACGUCAAGUCCUCAUGGCCCUUAUAGAUUGGGCUACACACGUGCUACAAUGGUAACUACAAAACGCAGCGAGAAUGUGAACUGGAGCAAAUCGUCUAAAAGUUAUCUUAGUUCGGAUUGUUAACUGUAACUCGUUAACAUGAAGUUGGAAUCACUAGUAAUCGUAAAUCAGCAUGUUACGGUGAAUUUGUACCUAGGCCUUGUACACACCGCCCGUCACAUGCCGGGAGUUAGUUUUACUUUAAGAAAUUUUAUAGUAACUUAAAAUUAUUUUUAAUUUAAGAACGGGAUUUCCAAAGAGAAAUUAAUGACUGGGAUGAAGUCGUAACAAGGUAACCA